CAGUAGCCGCGGUAAUACCGAGGGUGCGAGCGUUAAUCGGAUUUACUGGGCGUAAAGCGUGCGUAGGCGGCUUCUUAAGUCGGAUGUGAAAUCCCCGAGCUUAACUUGGGAAUUGCAUUCGAUACUGGUUAGCUAGAGUGUGGGAGAGGAUGGUAGAAUUCCAGGUGUAGCGGUGAAAUGCGUAGAGAUCUGGAGGAAUACCGAUGGCGAAGGCAGCCAUCUGGCCUAACACUGACGCUGAGGUACGAAAGCAUGGGGAGCAAACAGGAUUAGAUACCCCCGUAGUCCCUGUCUCUUAUAC
This 301-nucleotide ribosomal RNA is filed under the name uncultured bacterium. RNAcentral describes it as "partial 16S ribosomal RNA". It matches the Rfam family "Bacterial small subunit ribosomal RNA", at positions 509 to 807 of the family's 1533-position model. The record is from RNAcentral.